UACGGAGGGUGCAAGCGUUAUCCGGAUUCACUGGGUUUAAAGGGUGCGUAGGGGGGAAUGUAAGUCAGUGGUGAAAUCUCCGGGCUUAACCCGGAAACUGCCAUUGAUACUAUCGGUCUUGAAUACCGUGGAGGUGAGCGGAAUAUGUCAUGUAGCGGUGAAAUGCUUAGAUAUGACAUAGAACACCAAUUGCGAAGGCAGCUCACUACACGAAUAUUGACACUGAGGCACGAAAGCGUGGGGAGCAAACAGG
This 253-nucleotide ribosomal RNA is filed under the name uncultured bacterium. Its description in RNAcentral is "partial 16S ribosomal RNA". It matches the Rfam family "Bacterial small subunit ribosomal RNA", at positions 524 to 776 of the family's 1533-position model. The record is from RNAcentral.